CAGAUAACACGGUCGAUUACUCACGCAGAUUCAAGAAACCGUUAAGUUUAUUUUUAGUCCCUGGCUCUUGUCCACGCGUAGACCAAAUUAUGGUUUUAAUGUAUGAAUUGAAUAUAUAUCUAUAAUUUCAUAAUUAUUGGUCAUGUUGUGCGAAGAGACGAAAAUCACUUCGUAAAAAAAGUGAUAAGCCUUCGAAAGAACAAAAGAGAGCAACCUGAUGGAUACCUCUUGGAACCUUCUUCUACCUGAUGGAUUACUAGGAACAAAAUUUUACAACGAUAUAAAAUACCCGAAUUGACAACCCAAGACAGAACAUGCGCAGACAUAUUAGGAGAGCCGACCCCGUAUAAAGUGGGAAUGAGCAAAGAAGAAGAAAAGGAUCAAAAGAUUCGUCCCACAUUGCGAUUAAUUGCUUUUUUCAACCAAAUACUUAAAAAUUAGUUCAGCGGUUUAUUCACGGGAAAAAUAAAUAGGUAUAAUCUUUUAUCAAACCAAGAAAGAAAGGACUCGUGUCAGUCACUUCUGUGAAUUCUUACAAGUUACAAACAAAUAUAUCCACGUUCUGGGAUAUAAUGUUGAGCAAUCGUUUCGCCCGUGACAAGGGUAACCUAAGUACAUUUUUUGUGAUGUUCGGAGGCGGUGCCGUGUGCAGCAGUCGCUGGGGACUUACAGGUGCAGCGCGGACAGCAUUUCUUGCAGGUGUAAUAUAAUGUAGUAGGGGGACAGCCUAUCGCCAUUUCGUGUUAAAAUUCGCGACUACGCGGUUAUACUGAGUAAAUACUGUUGCCAUGCUUAUACUGGGUAAAAUCCCUGGAGUCUAGAGUUUGUGCCUGUUAUGGCGACAGUCUCACCUCUAUCACAUAAUGGGGAGGUACACACCUAGCGAAAAGUGGGUGCCUUGGCGGCACCUCUGCCUACUCCUUUCACCUUCGGGGAUAUGGGCGUGAUGCGUGUUUAUAUAUUGUGUAUAAUGUACUAUUUGAUUUUCUGUGAUUUUAGGACUCAAUUGUAAUAUCUAUUUAUAUAAUUGUAAUAUCGUUAUCACAAGCGUUUAACGUAACUCAUAAUAAAUAUUGCAAAUAGGAGGUAGGAUAUAUUUUAUAUCCGCCUGGUUAGCGACUACCGCAUACAAAAUGUAAAACCCGCCAUUGUUGCUUUCGCGUGUCGCGUUCCGGGAUCAGCCUAUAUAUAGUCGUUAUCAAACAGGCCAACAUAAUUGUAUGGACUAGCGAGAAAGAGAUAAUCAUUCUCAGUAAACUCUGGAUCCACUCUGCUUACCAUUUACCAUAAGGUGCAGUUAUUUUGCCCGUAUAAAAAAUAUAUUGAGAAUAAAAUAGGCUUACUUUUGCAAUUCCUUCCUUUGCUCCUGUAGAAUAAAUAAAGACAACAUAAGCUAACAUAAUGUAAGGAAUUUCUCUCGCUAUUUAAAAUAAUCCAUAACAAGCAAACGUUUUUACGCUCCAAGAUUAAAUACAGGAUCGUGUUUCGUGUCAAGUUUUUUAGAUAUCGGGGGUAUUUAAAAAACUGACUCAUUUGAUAUCGGGGAAGUAGUAUUUAUAAAAACUGACUCGUUUGCCCAACCUUACAUCUUGGUAGCGCUUUUUGUAUGGAAUUAACAUGUCCUACCGCGUUCGUCCACCCUCAUGAAAAGGGCUGGAGAAUGUAUGUUGUAAUCUGUUUGGUUUGAAAGAAUCGUGUUAUACCUAUGUUUGAUAUUAAAAUUAAACUAUUUUUUCGAAUUUUAUGGCGGUUUUAAUA
RNAcentral lists this long non-coding RNA (1758 nucleotides) under Manduca sexta (tobacco hornworm). RNAcentral describes it as "uncharacterized LOC115453830". The record is from RNAcentral. Lineage: Eukaryota; Metazoa; Arthropoda; Insecta; Lepidoptera; Sphingidae.